CUUGUAGUUUAAUGGUAGAACAUUGGUGUGUAAAGCCAAGGGCCCCGGGUUCGAUUCCCGGCGAG
Molecule: transfer RNA, 65 nt
Filed under: Agrilus planipennis (emerald ash borer)
Lineage: Eukaryota; Metazoa; Arthropoda; Insecta; Coleoptera; Buprestidae
Rfam family: tRNA
About the family: Transfer RNA (tRNA) molecules are approximately 80 nucleotides in length. Their secondary structure includes four short double-helical elements and three loops (D, anti-codon, and T loops).
Source: Rfam by way of RNAcentral